This 301-nucleotide ribosomal RNA is filed under the name uncultured bacterium. RNAcentral's name for it is "partial 16S ribosomal RNA". It matches the Rfam family "Bacterial small subunit ribosomal RNA", at positions 509 to 809 of the family's 1533-position model. The record is from RNAcentral.
CAGCAGCCGCGGGAAAACGUAGGUGGCAAGCGUUGUCCGGAAUUAUUGGGCGUAAAGGGCUCGCAGGCGGUUUCUUAAGUCUGAUGCGAAAGCCCCCGGCUCAACCGGGGAGGGUCAUUGGAAACUGGGAAACUUGAGUGCAGAAGAGGAGAGUGGAAUUCCACGUGUAGCGGUGAAAUGCGUAGAGAUGUGGAGGAACACCAGUGGCGAAGGCGACUCUCUGGUCUGUAACUGACGCUGAGGAGCGAAAGCGUGGGGAGCGAACAGGAUUAGAUACCCCUGUAGUCCCUGUCUCUUAUAA